GUGCUUGCUGGAACAACACAAANACUAAAAUUGGAAUGAUAUAGCUAAAAUUAGCAUGGCCUCUGCACAAGGAUAACAUGCAAUUCAUGAAAUGUUCCAUACACAC
Small nuclear RNA from Salvator merianae (Argentine black and white tegu), 106 nucleotides. The record is from Ensembl. NCBI's taxonomy places the organism in Eukaryota, Metazoa, Chordata, Lepidosauria, Squamata, Teiidae.